RNAcentral lists this long non-coding RNA (218 nucleotides) under Elaeis guineensis (African oil palm). RNAcentral describes it as "long non-coding RNA (EGUI_LNC007203)". The record is from RNAcentral. Lineage: Eukaryota; Viridiplantae; Streptophyta; Magnoliopsida; Arecales; Arecaceae.
GGCCGCUAACCACUUGUCAUGUUCUAUCUUAAAUUUGGGCCCCCUCUUAAAGCUCUUCUAUAUUUACUGUAAUGUUUUCUUCAUUUUUAAGAAUUAUGAUGGGGGAUCCUCCUAUUGGAAUUUAAUUCUAAGACCUGUCACACAUGAAGAGGGAUGUCAACUGAUUGAGAUUAAUCGAGAAUUGGCUGCAUCAACUUUUUCGUAACAUAACUAAACUU